GUCAGACCAUAGAUAACAUAGAAGACAGCACGCUAGCGUAUAUCUGUGGUCGGCCGUCUGGUAGCAUCUCUGGCUGCUGUUGACUUUGUUUUUGGAGUAAAACACGGUGGAAGCUGAAUUAGUGAGGAUGACUCCUGCUCCUGUCAUCUCUAAGCUCCUCACACAUCUUUACCUGCACAUGAGGAAAAUCACUCCUGUAGAAUGCAGAUGCACAAUGAGGGACGUCUGCAGAGACUGAGAAAGAGUCUCACCACAUCCUUACAUGAGGAAAAAGACUUUAUUGAAGACUACAAUGAGAAAAACUAUCCAGACAGCAGACGGCUGCAUUCAAGGUGAGCUCUGAACAUUUGAUCUGGAACAGGAAUUCAAUAACAGCAGCAUGAGCUUCAUUUCAGUCUGUAGCUGCUGAAUUCAUGGAUGAAUCAUCUGGCACUAGAGAGGAAGACCAUCAAACAUCCACGUCAGCUGAUGGAGGUCCAAGAGUCUCACCAAGCAAACAACCUACAGAGUGAAGACCUCAAAUCUGAUUGGACAGCCUCCUAUUCAGCCACAUGUGUGAACAAAUGCCUCUAAGCUGAUUUGUUUUCUGAAAUAAAUCUAGUUUGAGUCCUAA
Long non-coding RNA from Amphiprion ocellaris (clown anemonefish), 613 nucleotides. RefSeq lists it as uncharacterized. The transcript has 3 exons. NCBI's taxonomy places the organism in Eukaryota, Metazoa, Chordata, Actinopteri, Pomacentridae. The record is from RefSeq and is a predicted model, not a curated record.